Molecule: ribosomal RNA, 440 nt
Filed under: uncultured bacterium
Lineage: Bacteria
Description: partial 16S ribosomal RNA
Rfam family: Bacterial small subunit ribosomal RNA
Source: RNAcentral
CCUACGGGAGGCAGCAGUGGGGGAUAUUGCACAAUGGGGGAAACCCUGAUGCAGCGACGCCGCGUGGGUGAAGAAGCGCCUCGGCGCGUAAAGCCCUGUCAGCCGGGAAGAAAAUGACGGUACCUGAAGAAGAAGCCCCGGCUAACUACGUGCCAGCAGCCGUGGUAAUACGUAGGGGGCAAGCGUUAUCCGGAUUUACUGGGUGUAAAGGGGGCGCAGACGGCGAUGCAAGCCAGGAGUGAAAGCCCGGGGCCCAACCCCGGGACUGCUCUUGAAACUGCGUGGCUAGAGUGCAGGAGUGGCAGGCGGAAGUCCUGGUGUAGCGGUGAAAUGCGUAGAUAUCAGGAGGAACACCGGUGGCGAAGGCGGCCUGCUGGACGGCAACUGACGUUGAGGCCCGAAAGCGUGGGGAGCAAACAGGAUUAGAUACCCCGGUAGUC